Camelus dromedarius (Arabian camel) is the source of this 647-nucleotide long non-coding RNA. The record is from Ensembl. NCBI's taxonomy places the organism in Eukaryota, Metazoa, Chordata, Mammalia, Artiodactyla, Camelidae.
CUUAACUGCUGACAUACCUUGACUACAGUAGAUUUGGAAUCGAAUAAUCCAGGUUUGAAUUCUAAUACCAACACUUACUUUCUACUGUGCUUCAUGCAAAUGACUCAGUGUCUUUCAGUCUCAGAUUCCUUAUCUGUAGGUUGAAGAUAAAAAUAUUUCCUAUUUCUUACAUUUAUUGUGAGCAUGAAAUGGGGUGACAUACCUAACUCAUGGGGUUAGCAGAACAGAGUGAUGGUUAUGAUUGCUGUUGGCUGCAGAGUCAGAUGACCUGCGCUUAAAAUCCAGUUUUACUGCUGACUUCGUCCUGAGGGACAGAGGUGACUGUGUGCCCUUUAAUAAAUAUACGUUUUUAUGUUUGUGUUAUGCAGAACCUUCCAAAGAGCAAGGCCCAGGGAAGAGGCCCCACGAGUCCCAGUCUAACGGAAGCAAUGGAAUCAAGAGUGAAGGGUGAUGUGCAAAGAGGCUCCUGCUUUCUGGGAACCCAACCUGCCACACCCUGUCUAUAAAGCCAUGGUCCUGCACCUGCCUCCCACUCUGAUGUCGUAUCUCAAGAAUCUUCCUCUGAGUCCACUUCAGCCACAUGGACCUUCUUUUGAUGCCUCAGAGUCUUCUCACUUGCGGGUCCCUUAGCCUGUGAAGACUUCUCC